RNAcentral lists this long non-coding RNA (1542 nucleotides) under Anas platyrhynchos platyrhynchos (common mallard). RNAcentral describes it as "lncRNA (ENSAPLG00000029306.1)". Lineage: Eukaryota; Metazoa; Chordata; Aves; Anseriformes; Anatidae. The record is from RNAcentral.
AGGUACCUCGGGGCCUCCCCCGGCACCUCGUCCCCAAUGGUGGUGGGGACCAAAGGCAGGGCCGGCUCCCGGGGCUGCUCCGUGGGGUUGGCUGCAGUGUCAGGCUGGGGGGAUUUGGGGGCUUUUGAGGAGAUUCAGGGGGAUUUGUGGAGAUUUAGGGGGGGUUGCUGUGUUUACAUCGUGGCCCCGUUUCCCCCCCGCGCCGUGCCCCAGGGAGAAGUCGCGCUCGUGGCUCAGCACGGGCUGGUUCACCAUGGUGAUCGCGGUGGAGCUGUGCGACACCAUCCACGUCUACGGCAUGGUGCCCCCCAACUACUGCAGCCGGAGGCCGCAGCCCCGCCGCAUGGCCUACCACUACUACGAGCCCAAGGGCCCCGACGAGUGCACCACCUACAUCCACAACGAGCGCAGCCGCCGGGGCAACCACCACCGCUUCAUCACCGAGAAGCGCGUCUUCGCCAGCUGGGCCGGCCUCUACAACAUCACCUUCUCCCACCCCGCCUGGCCAUAGGGCGGCCGCGCCGAGCGGGGACCCUCGGGGACGGGAACGGGGUCCCUUUGGGGUGGGGUCUCCAUGGGUUGGGGUCUCCAUGGGUUGGGGUCUCCAUAGGUUGGGGUCUCCAUGGGAUGGGGUCCAGGCCACGCUGUGCGCCCCGGGGCUGUUGGAGCCAUCGAGGACCGCCUGCCACCGCUGUGCCCAAGGGCUCCACGUGCCCGUGGUGUGAAGGGUUUUGGGGUGGCGUGUCCCCUCCCGUGGGACAGCGGGCAGGGGAGCCGUGGGGACACCGCACGGGGGUUAAAUCCUGCACAGAUUUAAUCCAGCUCCAAACCUCCCCGGCUGCCUCGCAGCCCACCGCCCCGCAAGCACACCCGGGGGCACCGUAGGGGCUGCAUUGCUUUCACGGCAAAAUUUUGGGGACCCCCUCCCCGUUUUACUCCCCUCUGCCACCCCCUGCACUGCCAGCCCCAGCCCCCCCGGCACAAAUCCUGACGUUUUCGGUGGCGUCGCCCCCAGAGGGGGGGCCCUGCCCUGCCACCCAGGUAAGGAUCCACCCACGGGGUGCCCACCCCAAAAACCCCCGGCCCCGUGCUCGCUGCGGGGGGGGGGCACACUGCCAAAACCUUUUCUAUCGGCACAAUGGGAAUUUGGGGCUUGGGUUUUUCUCUUUUUUCUCCCCCCCCACCUCCUUGUCCCGCUGUCUGUACUCGUUUUCCCUCCCCAAACUGAGUGCGUGGUGGUGGUGGGGGGCCAUGUACCCCCCCCACGCUUAGGGGGGGCUGUUAUUUGUCUCCUGGUGGUGGAAAAUUUGGGGAAAAUCCCUCAAAGUGGCGUGUUUGGGUGCUGAGCCCCAGCAGAGCGCAGCGCCGUGCCUCAGUUUCCCUGGGGCCGUGGCAGCGGGGGGGGCGGAGGGGGGAUGCACACCCCCUGUGCUGUCGGGGUUACCCCCGGGGGGGGGGCUCAGCCCCAUGGGGGGGUCACCCCGCGUUUUGUAGUGAUUUGUACAGAAUAAACCUUGCUGCAGUCUGUUGCCUUGGGCCCUG